GCAGGCCUGUCCCUUUGCUUUCUUAAAACUGCGCACCGUCUGAGGCCACUUCGAGCCUACUGGAUCCCUGGUUCCAACCCAGUAGGAUCACAGAAGCAGGGCCAGCUGCCAGGAGAAAAAGUUGUUCUCUUCUACCAAAUUUUCCUGCCAUCAAAUGCUCAUUGAGUGACAAUAGAGAAAGCACCAUCAUCCUGAAGCAUCAGAUUGGGAGAAAAGUCCGCUCUCGAGAGCAUCAACUAUGUAGAAAGGGGACCAGCUUCUGCAAAAGACUUGAGACAGCUCACAAUGAAGUACUCUGUAUUAGGCAGGGUAAUAUUGAUUGCAAGUGACAGAAACCCAAUCAGAAACUCACUGGAGUCAUGAGGAACACUUAUUGGCUCAGUAAAGGCAAAAUAGACCUUCAGAGAAAUAAAGUCUGGGAAAUUGACUAGAUCCUCACUGAAAGAACUACUAAAGGAUGUACUUAUGGAAGAAGAAAAUUACAAAGUGAAAGAACUGGGAUGCAAGAAGUAAUGGUGAGCAUGGAAUUUGGCAAAGAUUCAAGUAAAACAAAGCAAGGACUGAGUAUAUAAAAUCAUAAUCAUAACAAAUUUUGACUAUUAUAUGUAACAGCCAAUCUCUUAACUGG
This 628-nucleotide long non-coding RNA is filed under the name Homo sapiens (human). RNAcentral's name for it is "RNASEH2B antisense RNA 1". Lineage: Eukaryota; Metazoa; Chordata; Mammalia; Primates; Hominidae. The record is from RNAcentral.